AUGGCGACCGGCUACGGGUGAGUAACGCGUAUCCAACCUGCCCUUUACUAUGGGACAGCCCGUCGAAAGGCGGAUUAAUACCGUAUGUUGUCAUGUUGAUGCAUAUUUUCAUGACCAAAGGCUUCGGCCGGUAAAGGAUGGGGAUGCGUCUGAUUAGCUUGCCGGCGGGUAACGGCCCACCGGGGCGACGAUCAGUAGGGGUUCUGAGAGGAAGGUCCCCCACAUUGGAACUGAGACACGGUCCAAACUCCUACGGAAGGCAGCAG
Molecule: ribosomal RNA, 266 nt
Filed under: uncultured bacterium
Lineage: Bacteria
Description: partial 16S ribosomal RNA
Rfam family: Bacterial small subunit ribosomal RNA
Source: RNAcentral